AAAUGCACUCGGAUCUUAAAUCUAAUUUUUGAGACAACAAAUGCUUAUAUUAAAAUUAAACAUUCGAUAGGCUAAGUCGAAUACAACCGGAGAGAUAUUCGACGGUAAACUGAUAAACUAACACAACUAAAACCAAGCUAAGGAUAGAUGUGGCUAAAGAGAAAAGAAACCCGUAAAUAAUCUUCACUUAUAUUCCUAGAGGAGGCAUUCGAAAAC
This 216-nucleotide long non-coding RNA is filed under the name Brassica rapa (field mustard). Its description in RNAcentral is "long non-coding RNA (BRAP_LNC005435)". Lineage: Eukaryota; Viridiplantae; Streptophyta; Magnoliopsida; Brassicales; Brassicaceae. The record is from RNAcentral.